This 1534-nucleotide long non-coding RNA is filed under the name Solanum tuberosum (potato). RNAcentral describes it as "long non-coding RNA (STUB_LNC004158)". The record is from RNAcentral. Lineage: Eukaryota; Viridiplantae; Streptophyta; Magnoliopsida; Solanales; Solanaceae.
GUGGAACAUCAUGCAUUUCAAGAUUGUGCAUCAGACGAAGUAAAUCACAAGCAAGAAGGAAAGAUUGAUUCUAAUCGCUCUGCAUCAGAAAAAAAUAUUUUAGGAGAUAGAGACAACUCUAUACCCUCCAAGGUUGUAGUUUCCAAUGGUACUAGCAACAUGGAAUCAGAACAGGUAAUAUCUGGGGAUUGUGUUGCAUCAGAAAAUGGGGAGCUAAAGCAAGAUAAAGAAGACACUCUGAGACAGAAGAAGUUAGAGAGGGAAGGUUCGCAACAGAAGGUGAGUGCUGAUACUAAUAAACAAAAAAGUGACAAGACAGCCUCAUCUCUAAAGAAACAAUUGUUCUCCAACACUAAACCUGCCACUGAUGGCGUAGGUCCGAAAAAUAAAUCUAAACAGCAGGAAAUCCAAGGCACUGUUUUACGACCGGCAAAGCCUAAUGCAGUGUCCCGGUGGAUCCCUCCCAACAAAGGUUCUUACACUAGUUCAAUGCAUGUAUCGUAUCCACCAUCAAGGUAUAACAGUGCUCCUCCUGUGCUUGCUCUCACCAAGGAUUUUCAAUCUGGGGUUAAAUCAAAGUCACCAUCUCCUCAAGCUUCUUCAGAAGCUAUAGCUUCUGCUGAAGCAGGUCGUGUUUCAGGGAAAGACUCUUCAUGUUCUGCAUCGGGUAUGUCAAUGGUUGAGGGAUCUGUUGCUACAAUGUCUGCCCCAGAAUCAGUUGAAAGCCACGCCCUUCAGCUUCAUCCAUCUCCUCCGAGUCCGCUUCUUUCGCCAUCUCCAAUCACUUCAUCUCAUGAAACUUCUGAUACUGAGGUAGCAGGAACUAAUUCACCAUCAGCGACUUCAGCUUUGUCUUCACAGGGGAGCAAUAUUACGACAUUUUCUUUGACUCAGACGAACCCUUAUUCUUCACCUGCUCUGGCCGCACCUUCCCAGCCACCUUUGUGCAGGCCAUCCCUGUCACUUUCAAGUAACAUCCGGUCAUUUUCACCUCCUCCACCUCCCCCACCCCCUCCGCCUCCACCAUUAACUAGCUCGAGGAUGACUUCACUGGGUGCCUUUUCUCCUCCCCCACCACCACCACCUCCACCUCUGCCCUCAUCAUCCAGUGUAAUAAAUGUUGGUAGGGUCCCUCCACCACCCCUUUGGAUGGGGUAUGGGACUACCUCAGAAGUAGUAUCUAGUUCAUCACCACCUCCACCUCCACCUCCACCUCCUCCACCACCUCCUCCUCCUACACCUCCUACUCUUUCCCCACGAAUCCUACAUACCUCGCAAGUUGCUCCACCUCCACCGCCCCCACCACCACCACCUCCUUCAACCUACGUUCCCCCUCCUUUAUACAACACUCAAUCUGCACCAUCUCCACCACCUCCCCCUCCUUUUUCUAGAGCGCCAACUCCACCACCUCCCCCUCCCCCUCCUUUUUCUAGAGCGCCAACUCCGCCACCUCCCCCUCCCCCUCCUUUUUCUAGAGCGCCAACUCCGCCACCUCCCCCUCCCCCUCCUUUUUCUAGAGCGCCAACUCCGCCAC